AAAAUGACAAAUCCUAGAUUUCCGUGUCUAACGUUUAACCGUCCAUCUUAUUUAAAAAAUAUAAAAAAAUUAAAAAGACAAGUCACACAUAAAGUAUUAAUCAUGUUUUAUCAUCUAACAACAAUAAAAAUACUAAUUAUAAAAAAAUUCAUAAGACGGGCACUCAAACGUUGGAAAAAAAAACUCAGGGUUUGUUUUUUU
MicroRNA precursor from Oryza sativa Indica Group (long-grained rice), 201 nucleotides. It matches the Rfam family "MIR812 microRNA precursor family". Lineage: Eukaryota; Viridiplantae; Streptophyta; Magnoliopsida; Poales; Poaceae. The record is from Rfam.